This 253-nucleotide ribosomal RNA is filed under the name uncultured bacterium. RNAcentral describes it as "partial 16S ribosomal RNA". It matches the Rfam family "Bacterial small subunit ribosomal RNA", at positions 524 to 776 of the family's 1533-position model. The record is from RNAcentral.
UACGGAGGGGGCUAGCGUUGUUCGGAAUUACUGGGCGUAAAGCGCACGUAGGCGGCUUUGUAAGUUAGAGGUGAAAGCCCGGGGCUCAACUCCGGAAUUGCCUUUAAAACUGCAUCGCUAGAAUUGUGGAGAGGUGAGUGGAAUUCCGAGUGUAGAGGUGAAAUUCGUAGAUAUUCGGAAGAGCACCAGUGGCGAAGGCGACUCACUGGACACAUAUUGACGCUGAGGUGCGAAAGCGUGGGGAGCAAACAGG